UGGGGAAUUUUGGACAAUGGGCGCAAGCCUGAUCCAGCAAUGCCGCGUGUGUGAAGAAGGCCUUCGGGUUGUAAAGCACUUUUGUCCGGAAAGAAAACCUCGUGGUUAAUACCCGUGGGGGAUGACGGUACCGGAAGAAUAAGCACCGGCUAACUACGUGCCAGCAGCCGCGGUAAUACGUAGGGUGCAAGCGGUAAUCGGAAUUACUGGGCGUAAAGCGUGCGCCGGCGGUUCGCUAAGACAGAUGUGAAAUCCCCGGGCUUAACCUGGGAACUGCAUUUGUGACUGGCGGGCUAGAGUAUGGCAGAGGGGGGUAGAAUUCCACGUGUAGCAGUGAAAUGCGUAGAGAUGUGGAGGAAUACCGAUGGCGAAGGCAGCCCCCUGGGCCAAUACUGACGCUCAUGCACGAAAGCGUGGGGAGCAAACAGG
Molecule: ribosomal RNA, 429 nt
Filed under: Bacillota bacterium
Lineage: Bacteria; Bacillati; Bacillota
Description: Firmicutes bacterium partial 16S ribosomal RNA
Rfam family: Bacterial small subunit ribosomal RNA
Source: RNAcentral